CUUGACGACCAUAGAACAUUGGAACCACCUGAUCCCAUCCCGAACUCAGCAGUGAAACGAUGUAUCGCCGAUGGUAGUGUG
Molecule: ribosomal RNA, 81 nt
Filed under: Pseudomonas syringae pv. actinidiae
Lineage: Bacteria; Pseudomonadati; Pseudomonadota; Gammaproteobacteria; Pseudomonadales; Pseudomonadaceae
Source: RNAcentral